GACGAACGCUGGCGGCGUGCUUAACACAUGCAAGUCGAACGCUGAAGCUCAGCUUGCUGGGUGGAUGAGUGGCGAACGGGUGAGUAACACGUGAGUAACCUGCCCUCUUCUUUGGGAUAACGCCCGGAAACGGGUGCUAAUACUGGAUAUUCACUGAUUCUCGCAUGGGGGUUGGUGGAAAGGUUUUUUCUGGUGGGGGAUGGGCUCGCGGCCUAUCAGCUUGUUGGUGGGGUGAUGGCCUACCAAGGCUUUGACGGGUAGCCGGCCUGAGAGAGUGACCGGUCACAUUGGGACUGAGAUACGGCCCAGACUCCUACGGGAGGCAGCAGUGGGGAAUAUUGCACAAUGGGCGAAAGCCUGAUGCAGCGACGCCGCGUGAGGGAUGGAGGCCUUCGGGUUGUAAACCUCUUUCGCUCAUGGUCAAGCCGCAGCGUUGGGUUGUGGUGAGGGUAGUGGGUAAAGAAGCGCCGGCUAACUACGUG
RNAcentral lists this ribosomal RNA (482 nucleotides) under uncultured bacterium. RNAcentral describes it as "partial 16S ribosomal RNA". It matches the Rfam family "Bacterial small subunit ribosomal RNA", at positions 28 to 507 of the family's 1533-position model. The record is from RNAcentral.